Molecule: ribosomal RNA, 710 nt
Filed under: Bacillus subtilis
Lineage: Bacteria; Bacillati; Bacillota; Bacilli; Caryophanales; Bacillaceae
Description: partial 16S ribosomal RNA
Source: RNAcentral
AGACUGGGAUAACUCCSGGAAACCGGGGCUAAUACCGGAUGCUUGUUUGAACCSCAUGGKUCAAACAUAAAAGGUGGCUUCGGCUACCACUUACAGAUGGACCCGCGGCGCAUUAGCUAGUUGGUGAGGUAAUGGCUCACCAAGGCRACGAUGCGUAGCCGACCUGAGAGGGKGAUCGGCCACACUGGGACUGAGACACGGCCCAGACUCCUACGGGAGGCAGCAGUAGGGAAUCUUCCGCAAUGGACGAAAGUCUGACGGAGCAACGCCGCGUGAGUGAUGAAGGUUKUCGGAUCGUAAAGCUCUGUUGUUAGGGAAGAACAAGUACCGUUCGAAUAGGGCGGUACCUUGAYGGUACCUAACCAGAAAGCCACGGCUAACUACGUGCCAGCAGCCGCGGUAAUACGUAGGUGGSAAGCGUUGKCCGGAAUUAUUGGGCGUAAAGGGCUCGCASGCGGUUUCUUAAGUCUGAUGUGAAAGCCCCCGGCUCAACCGGGGAGGGUCAUUGGAAACUGGGGAACUUGAGUGCAGAAGAGGAGAGUGGARUUCCACGUGUAGCGGUGAAAUGCGUWGAGAUGUGGAGGAACACCAGUGGCGAAGGCGACUCUCUGGUCUGUAACUGACGCUGAGGAGCGAAAGCGUGGGGAGCGAACRGGAUUAGAUACCCUGGYAGYYSCACGCCGUMAACGAUGAGUGCUAAGUGUUAGGGG